This 281-nucleotide signal recognition particle RNA is filed under the name Saimiri boliviensis boliviensis (Bolivian squirrel monkey). RNAcentral's name for it is "Metazoan signal recognition particle RNA (ENSSBOG00000014531.1)". It matches the Rfam family "Metazoan signal recognition particle RNA". From Rfam's summary of the family: The signal recognition particle (SRP) is a universally conserved ribonucleoprotein. It is involved in the co-translational targeting of proteins to membranes. Lineage: Eukaryota; Metazoa; Chordata; Mammalia; Primates; Cebidae. The record is from RNAcentral.
GCUGGGCGCGGUGGCACGUGCCUACAGUCCCAGCUAUUUGAGAGGCUGAGGCAGGAGGACCGCCUGAGCCCAGGGGUUCUGGGCUGUAGUGCGCUAUGCCAAUCGGGUGUCCGCACUACGUUCGGCAUCAAUAUGGUGACCUCCCAGGUUGCCUAAGGAGGGGAGAAUCAGCCCAGGUGGGAAACGCAGCAGGUCAAAAGUCCUGUGCUGAUCAGUAGUGGGAUCGCGCCUGUGAAUAGCCACUGUGCUGCAGCCUGGGCGACACAGCAGACCCUGUCUCU